Non-coding RNA from Acanthosepion pharaonis, 96 nucleotides. The record is from the annotation of a GenBank genome assembly. Lineage: Eukaryota; Metazoa; Mollusca; Cephalopoda; Sepiida; Sepiidae.
UCAAACACUUGUUCUCGUACGAUCACUGAAUUUAAGCAACGUCGAACCUAUUCAAUACCUAAAUGGGUGACCGCUUGGGAAUAUCAGGUGCUGUAA